ACGAACGCUGGCGGCGUGCCUAAUACAUGCCAGUAGAACGCACAGUUUAUACCGUAGCUUGCUACACCAUAGACUGUGAGUUGCGAACGGGUGAGUAACGCGUAGGUAACCUGCCUGGUAGCGGGGGAUAACUAUUGGAAACGAUAGCUAAUACCGCAUAAUAUUGAUUAUUGCAUGAUAAUUGAUUGAAAGAUGCUAUUGCAUCACUACCAGAUGGACCUGCGUUGUAUUAGCUAGUAGGUGAGGUAACGGCUCACCUAGGCGACGAUACAUAGCCGACCUGAGAGGGUGAUCGGCCACACUGGGACUGAGACACGGCCCAGACUCCUACGGGAGGCAGCAGUAGGGAAUCUUCGGCAAUGGACGAAAGUCUGACCGAGCAACGCCGCGUGAGUGAAGAAGGUUUUCGGAUCGUAAAGCUCUGUUGUAAGAGAAGAACGGGUGUGAGAGUGGAAAGUUCACACUGUGACGGUAUCUUACCAGAAAGGGACGGCUAACUACGUG
This 504-nucleotide ribosomal RNA is filed under the name uncultured bacterium. RNAcentral's name for it is "partial 16S ribosomal RNA". It matches the Rfam family "Bacterial small subunit ribosomal RNA", at positions 29 to 507 of the family's 1533-position model. The record is from RNAcentral.